AUCUGUCCAUUAUUAAAGUACAUAAUUUUUAAAAACAAGAACAAGUAAUUGUAGUAGGUUGACUGCAAUAAUGUUCCCAAUUCUUUACCCCUCCCUGCACCCAUCCCCUUUCCAAGGUAGCUUUGCAGCUCCUCCUAUCAAAGCUGGAGUGUGUUUUUCCCAUCCUUUCUAUCUGGGCUGGCCCUGUGACUUACUUUGGCCAAUACAAAAUGCGGUGGAAAUGCCAGAGUACCAGUUUCAUGCCUUGGCCUCAAGAGGUCACUCUUGUUCAUGCCCACUGUCUACCUACUACCGCCAUGAGAAUAAGCCUGGGCUUGCUGGAGGAUGACAGACCAAGGAGAGGGAAACCCAGCUGUUCCAUCUGAGGCCAUCCUAGACCAACCCAUAGCCAACCAGCAUUCAAACACCUGAGAAAGUCCAGCCAGGAUCAGCAAAGCUUCCAUCCUGAGUCACAGCUGAACCACAAAUACAUUAGUGAGUUCAGCAAGACCAAAAGAGCCACCCGGUCGCCUCACAGACUGAUGAGUCUGUUUUUAGGCAAAGGCUAAAGUGACCGGAGUGUUUGUCCAGUUAGGAGCAGCCACACGGAGUCCCUGCCAAAGGCGUGUCCUUGGCUUCCAGAGUCGAAGAAGAGACGUUCAAGAGCAGCAUUUCCAGCAGCCCACAAUGUUGUAUACACCAACACUGUUCCUUUCUGGGGGCAAAGUUGAAGCUUGGAUCCCCAGCAUUCCAUGUCCCCAGGGAUAAGGAUGAACAACACCAUUUGAAAGCCUCAAAUCAAUAAUAAAAUGUAUUUGUAUUCUUAA
Long non-coding RNA from Gorilla gorilla gorilla (western lowland gorilla), 806 nucleotides. RefSeq lists it as uncharacterized. Lineage: Eukaryota; Metazoa; Chordata; Mammalia; Primates; Hominidae. The transcript is spliced from 3 exons. The record is from RefSeq and is a predicted model, not a curated record.